GAAAGAGUCAACAAGAAACAUAUUGACAGAACGCGAACUAGCUAAAUUGAGUGAAGAUGUCGCCGCCGAUAUCUUCGAACAUUUCUACUUUACGUUCGGUUCGGUGCGGGAUGGGGCGCAACUUUAUGAGCCUUGGUGAAGGAAUGAACAGCCUACAGAGUGGACCUCUGCAACAACCAUCGAUUCAGAUGAUAGGCCAUCCGUUCGAAUUUGCUCAUUUCGCAGUUCAUGACUAAUGAUGAGUGCAGGUCAAACAGUAAAGAAAUUGGCAACAUCCGUGACGGAGAACCGAAGUUACAAGAGGGCUUCCAAGGCUUUAAUGCAACUGAUGCCGUAGACACUUCUCAAAAGCUUUGGAGGGUGUACAUUAAGGAGUCCGAAGUUGUGAUCUUGAUGUCCCAACUAUGCCAAUCUUCGAUGCGAUGCGCAAUCUUCAAAUUAGUAUCUCAUCCUGCUGUACACAGCUGGACAGGAUUGGCUAUCGUUGAUCGACUGAACAAGACCACUACGUCUUGGGAGCAUACAUAAGGAUUAAAUGAUUAC
Molecule: long non-coding RNA, 543 nt
Organism: Armigeres subalbatus
Lineage: Eukaryota; Metazoa; Arthropoda; Insecta; Diptera; Culicidae
Exons: 3
Source: RefSeq, a predicted model, not a curated record